GACGAACGCUGGCGGCGUGCUUAACACAUGCAAGUCGAACGCUGAAGCUCAGCUUUUGUUGGGUGGAUGAGUGGCGAACGGGUGAGUAACACGUGAGUAACCUGCCCCCUUCUUUGGGAUAACGCCCGGAAACGGGUGCUAAUACUGGAUAUUCACUGGUCUUCGCAUGGGGGUUGGUGGAAAGGGUUUUUCUGGUGGGGGAUGGGCUCGCGGCCUAUCUGCUUGUUGGUGGGGUGAUGGCCUACCAAGGCUUUGACGGGUAGCCGGCCUGAGAGGGUGACCGGUCACAUUGGAACUGGGAUACGGCCCAGACGCCUACGGGAGGCAGCAGUGGGGACUAUUGCACAAUGGGCGCAAGCCUGAUGCAGCGACGCCGCGUGAGGGAUGGGGGCCUUCGAGUUCUGAACCUCUUUCGCUCAUGGUCAAGCCGCAACAAUGGUUGUGUUGAGGGUAGUGGGUAAAGAAGCGCCGGCUAACUACGUG
Molecule: ribosomal RNA, 483 nt
Filed under: uncultured bacterium
Lineage: Bacteria
Description: partial 16S ribosomal RNA
Rfam family: Bacterial small subunit ribosomal RNA
Source: RNAcentral